UACGUAGGGAGCAAGCGUUGUCCGGAAUCAUUGGGCGUAAAGCGCGCGUAGGUGGCCACAUAAGUCCGUUGUGAAAGUCAAAGGCUCAACCUUUGAAAGCCGAUGGAUACUGUGUGGCUAGAGUACGGAAGAGGCGAGUGGAAUUCCUGGUGUAGCGGUGAAAUGCGCAGAUAUCAGGAGGAACACCAAUUGCGAAGGCAGCUCGCUGGGACGUGACUGACGCUGAGACGCGAAAGCGUGGGGAGCAAACAGG
Molecule: ribosomal RNA, 253 nt
Filed under: uncultured bacterium
Lineage: Bacteria
Description: partial 16S ribosomal RNA
Rfam family: Bacterial small subunit ribosomal RNA
Source: RNAcentral